GCACAAAUCGUGGGGUUGAGGCCCCGGGCUACACUGCUGUGGACUUCCAGGGGCUGGCUGGAGAGGAAAAGCCGAGGAUCUCACUUCGCGGUCCACACAGCGCGCGGCUCCUCAGCUUCCGGGCGCGCGGGGGCCCCUCCCCCGGCGGCCAGGUGGGCGCUUCCUGCCGUCCCGGGACCCGGAGUGUGGGUCCAGCGCCUUAAGGGCCGCGCGUCCGCUCACUUCCACACUCUCGGAUCCCAGACCCCCGCCCUUGUUCCCGAGGCCCCGCCCUCACGGCUUCACCCCACCCCUCCGCCACCGCCCGCCGCGGCCGGGCUCCCGCGGGCCCCGUGCGGGCGGCGGGCGCCGAGAGCGCGCAGAGGCCGCCGCGCCCCGGCCUCGAACCCGCCGCCCCUGCUCCCGGCGCGGCGCGAGCUGGCCUGGUCCUCGUUGGGCCGCGCGACCCCUGCCGUGUCAGAGGUCGACUGAAUGUUUACAUAUUAAUAAAGGCCAAUAUUUAUCGAGUGCUUAACUACUUUUCAGGCACUGUUCUGAGUGCUUUCCUGCAAGAAAAUGUGACAUCCUCCCUCACCACAACUCUUCCAGGAAGCUGAUCUGAUGGAAUGACCUUGACUCCCAGCCUUGAGGGAUCUGAACUCAUGCUCAUCAUGCUCUUUGCUGGCUGUCUGUCAAUUCCGAAUUUCUCACUUACCAUCACAGUUGGAGAGCAGUAUCCCAAGAGACACCACGAUGGGUCACCUGGCUGUCCUCACAGGGGAGGAGCAAGCCUGCCUCCUCCUGCUGAUCAUCAUCAAGUACCCUUCACACGAUGAUAAUGACUUUCCUUGCCUGCUGGUCUCUUGGCAAAAGGAGCUUGAGGUGACUUGGAGACAGCCAUGCUUUAUGUUUAAGGACCGUCUUGCUAUGUCCCUUGGUAAAAGCAUUGUCUAGAAUCAUGGAUACAGGAAGCACAGGUUUCUUAAGCAGGUUACUGGAAGUGAUGGUCUACUUCCAAACCUUGGCUCCCAGGCCCAUGUAUUCUGCGUACUGGUGACACAGGACCAUAUUAUGUGUAUACAGUGUCUCAAGGAGCAGCUUUCUAGGGUAUCACCUCCAAGCUGGCUUUGGCUUUGGCUCAGUUAUGUCUUUAAGUGGCCAUCCCACUGCUCGAUCAGGCUAGCAGCUCCUGAGUGAUGCAGUAAGUGAGAGGAUAGGUUGGUUGCAUUGUCACAUGUCCACUGUUGCACCUUCUCUGGAAAAAAGUAGCUGAAUGUAAUGUUACCUAGGGUUCGGAGUCAUUGAUCAAACACCAGUCCUCAGAGAGUGGUGUAUCUCAGGUUGUGUGAGUGCCAAAGGGAAGCCUGUGUCUGGAGCACAUAUCAGAAUCAGGAGUCACUGCCCCUAUCAGGGUGGAAGGGGACCAGUGUAAUCUUUUUGCCACAAGUGAGCAGUUGGUGUCCUUGACUGAUUGCCAUGUUGGAGUCGGGCUGUUCGUCUCUCUUACUGACAGAAUGAACGUUCAGCCAUGGCAGCCGCUGGCUCGGCCUUGGUGAUGGCAGUCUUGAGCUCUUUCCUUACCCGCUGCUUGCACCUCUUCCGGUCUAGUGCUAUUGGGCCCAUCCAGACCCUCUUCCUCAGCACCAUGGCUACUCCAUUCAUGAACUUACGGAAUCACCGCUGGGACAGUCGAUGGCAGAUGCUGGCUGAUGUGAACUGUCUGAGGUGUUCUGUGAAUCUUUCUUCCUUGAUGGAUGCCCCCUUGUGGGACUUAACAUUACAAUACAAAGAACUUCACAUUUCACGCCCACUAUCAUCGGGUCCACCACGUCCGUCUUCUGCAGACCUCCUUACCCUGAUUGUUUUGUGGUCUGUUACUGGGUAACAAACCACCCCCAAACUUAGUUAUUACGAUUUAGUUAUAGCUCAUGACUUCGUGGUUUGGCUGGACUCAGCUGGGGGUCUCUUCUGCUGGUGUUGUGUGGGAUCUUUCUCAGUAGCAGUCGGAUGGGUGCCCCAGUGCUCCUCCAUGUGGCCACUCCAUCCAGCAAGAUCGCCAGUUUUGUGGGUCAAAGAGGGAAGACAUGGAAGCUGCUCAGCUUUCUUAAUGCCUGGGCUCCAAAGUCCCACAACAUCACCUCCUUGCAUUCUGUUCAUCAAAGCCAUCACAGAUCAGUGGGACAUAAGCUUUGUCUCAGAUGGGAGUAGCAGUAGGUGCGUGCAGGGAGGGGCAGGGUUACGUAGGGUUGUUCUUGAAGAAAAGCUGCACAGUCCAUCCUCUGGCCACAAUUCACAUUCCUCCCUUCUACAGCAUACACCUCAUUCCUUUUCCCAAGAACACAAGUCUCAUCCCCUAGUGGCAUCCACUUGAACCCAGGAUCUCAUCCUCUAAAUCAGCUGUAGGCACGGGUGGAUCGUCUCGGCUGUUUUCUUGGGUAUAGCCCCUUAGGUAUGGCUUCUCUUGCUCUACAGAACUAAAUCAUAAAGAGAGAGGUUACUCAAUCAGCAUUCGCCCAGUGAGGAUGAGCAGGAACAGGAAAACUGGGACAGUCAUGAGGGGGAAACAGCAGGCACACGGCAGUGAGGAUUCGUAGCGCUUUUGAAAUCCAGCUGCACAUGUUCUCAGCCCUUCCCUGUGGACCAGUCCUGCUCUGUGGGAUUAGUUCCCACGUCUCUUGGCUCUGCCCUGAGUCAUCCUUCCUUUUCUAUAAUAAACGGCCUCUCUUGGAAGCUAAGCAGCUUUCUUAGCCUGCUUACUGCCUGCACACAUUUGACGGCCCGAGACCUCUUUUCAUCAUGAACUAACUCUAUCCCUUUCAGCCCAAAUGGAUUCUGUUCCUUUAAAACAUUGUGCCUUUUGUUUGUAUCAAGUCAUAAUCAGCUCCACUGGGUAAAAGCCAUAGCUGCACUUCUUUCUGAAACAAGCCCAUGAAGUUCCUCUGGGACAACUUCCUUAUGAUUCUUAGAAACCCUGUUGUCUAGGUGAGAGGCUGUAGGAGGCACGCCCUGAGGAUUCUUAGAAGUCUCUUUGUUCGGCUGGAAGGCUUUAUGACGCAUCACUGAAAAUCUUCCUGAGGUUUCAACAGAGUGUCUCACUGUCACACCCUUAAUCUGAACUUGACCCUGAGGCUUAUUUCACUUCCCAUGUUCUGAAUUUGAUCCCCCCAGCCCGCCCCUCUUCUAAGUCCAUUUCUUACCUUGAGAGGCUUUUGUCAUCUGGAGAAACAGCAUUGCUUUCAAACCCAGUAAGUAUCAGUUGCUUUAUAUUGCCUCUAAAUUCGCUGGAAGACUGUACUAUUUCCAUUUUUUUUUCACCCUCAUCUUACUCCCCAUGUACUUGUCAUAGGCAGUUAAAAACAAAAACAAAACAAAAUGAAAAUAGUUGGCGCUUUCAACAGUCUGCCUACAAGCAUCCUUAGCCAGACCCAGGAGUUCCUUACGUAGCUUCUCUAUUUCCCUCCUGACUGCAGGUGACAGUUUCAUGUAUGUGUCUGCAUCCCCUACUGUGACAACAUAAUAACACUCUGGUCCCCUUGCCUUUGGUCUCCAAUAGUGAUUUCAUUGCUGUCUUUCCUGCCUUCACUCUGAUCUCUUGAGGGAACUCCACCUUGGGCCCAAAGCUAAUACUGUGUGUUUUAGUCGAGUUUUGUCAAGACAGAUGCCAUUUCAGGUACCACGUUCUGUUUCAGUUACCUCUUGCUGUGUAAUAAACUGCUACUAAAAUCAGUGGCUGAAAACAGGCCUUUCCUUAUCUCUCUUGACCCCAUGGGCUGACUGGGGCUCAGCUAAGCAAUGCCUUCAUUAUCAUCAGGGUCUCAUGUGGUUGCAUUUGGAUGGGGCUUGGACCAGGUGCCUGGCACUUCAAGGUCCUUCCACGCGGCCUCUUUCUCCAUGUGACACCUCAUCCUUCAGGGCCUCUUCAUGGGGCCUCUUUCUCUAGCAGGGCAGCCUGGAUUUCUUUAAAUGGCACUUCAGGGCUCCAUGAGGGGGAGAGUAGACGAUGCUAGGCUUUCUUAAUACUUGAUGUGCACAGAUGCCUCCACAUGUCACUUCCUCUGCAUCCUGCUGGACCGAGCAGCUGUAGGCUGUGUCCCAGCUUACCGGCCGCACCGGCUGGGGAGGGCAGACGCGUUCCGGAGCUGUAGCGUUGCUGGGCGUCUUCUUUGACGGCUUGUUACCAUGCCAGUCUUCCGACCUUUGACCGUCACAGCCCCAGACUAACCAGUCAAGCCAUUCAAGACUGUCUUAUGUUCAUACUGGGCUACUUUGCUCUGUGUGCAGAGGUGCCACUGGAAACUGCAUGCCCGUUGGAAGGCCUUGUCCUCCCCGCUGUCUCUCAGGGUCACUGUGGGGUUGCUGUCCAUUUCUGGCUUCACCCACGCACUGAACUGACCCAUUGUGACUGUACAAAGCCAGCCUUUUUCCUCCUUUGUCACCUGAUCGUAAGAGGCUUCGUCCCACCGCCACCCACGCCACCCCUGUUUGGCCACAGACGUGGACUGAGGGAGAGCCCUGGGACCACUCUGGGGGGUGAUGUGGGGGUUUACGCCAGCUGCUCCUGGGAUUUGCUUGUCUCCUUUGGCCCCGGUCCCGGAUGGGCCAGUUCCAUCUCACAGUGAAUGGCAGCCGAGCCUGCUCAGCCUUGUUCCCUGUGGGUCUGACAGAAGCCGGCUCAGGAUGGGCAGUUCUCGAAUCAUGAUCACUCAGAUUGGUGGUCAGGCCCUCUGAUCUUGCCUGGGUCCAGGAGCAUGUUCAGAGAUUGGUUGUUUUUUGUUUGUUUGUUUUGUCUUUCUAUUCUUUUUUAAAUUGAAGUAUAGUCAGUUACAGUGUAUCAAUUUCUGGUGGACAGCAUCAUG
Non-coding RNA from Vicugna pacos (alpaca), 4835 nucleotides. The record is from RefSeq and is a predicted model, not a curated record. NCBI's taxonomy places the organism in Eukaryota, Metazoa, Chordata, Mammalia, Artiodactyla, Camelidae.